UAUUAUGACCAGAGCAACUGGGAAUGAAAGCGCCUGAGCUCAUCAGAUGUUGGAAGCUAAGCAGAUUUGAGCCGAACGAUAGUGCUAUGGAUGGGUGGCCACCACAUGCAUAGCAGGUGUUAUAGACU
RNAcentral lists this ribosomal RNA (128 nucleotides) under Petromyzon marinus (sea lamprey). Lineage: Eukaryota; Metazoa; Chordata; Hyperoartia; Petromyzontiformes; Petromyzontidae. The record is from RNAcentral.